Molecule: ribosomal RNA, 94 nt
Filed under: uncultured bacterium
Lineage: Bacteria
Description: partial 16S ribosomal RNA
Rfam family: Bacterial small subunit ribosomal RNA
Source: RNAcentral
CACACCGCCCGUCACACCAUGAGAGCGGUUUUACCAGAAGUCGCUGCGCUAACUUCGGAGGCAGGCGCCCAAGGUAAGACUGAUGAUUGGGGUG